This 347-nucleotide ribosomal RNA is filed under the name Gallus gallus (chicken). RNAcentral describes it as "partial small subunit ribosomal RNA". It matches the Rfam family "Bacterial small subunit ribosomal RNA", at positions 796 to 1341 of the family's 1533-position model. Lineage: Eukaryota; Metazoa; Chordata; Aves; Galliformes; Phasianidae. The record is from RNAcentral.
CUAGCCCUAAAUCUAGAUACCUCCCAUCACACAUGUAUCCGCCUGAGAACUACGAGCACAAACGCUUAAAACUCUAAGGACUUGGCGGUGCCCCAAACCCACCUAGAGGAGCCUGUUCUAUAAUCGAUAAUCCACGAUUCACCCAACCACCCCUUGCCAGCACAGCCUACAUACCGCCGUCGCCAGCCCACCUCUAAUGAAAGAACAACAGUGAGCUCAAUAGCCCCUCGCUAAUAAGACAGGUCAAGGUAUAGCCUAUGGGGUGGGAGAAAUGGGCUACAUUUUCUAACAUAGAACAAACGAAAAAGGACGUGAAACCCGCCCUUAGAAGGAGGAUUUAGCAGUAA